Long non-coding RNA from Telopea speciosissima, 455 nucleotides. RefSeq lists it as uncharacterized. The record is from RefSeq and is a predicted model, not a curated record. The transcript has 2 exons. Lineage: Eukaryota; Viridiplantae; Streptophyta; Magnoliopsida; Proteales; Proteaceae.
GUUUUUCUAGAAUUGUUAUUUGGAUGGAUGCCUGUGAUGUAUGAUUUCUGUACCAUUCAAGCUGUCUGAAAUGGCUUACUCCAAAUAUGUUAUCACAGAUUAGUGCCCAGAGGUCAUCUGUUGGAAUGAAAACCAAAACACUAAAGCUACCAAAGCAUGGUGAGAUGCUUUUAUAUGUCCAUGGCUUGCCCCUUGGAGCUUACAACAAGGAUAACAUGGAAGCAAUACAUGAUUCAGAAGAAGGUUAACUGGUCUGGAGGAUUGUUAUAAUUACAAGUUACAUGCAACUGAUGGCUUAAACUCAAACAUUGCUUGUCAUCUCAAAGUUGGUUCAGAAUCCUCACUUCAAUAUUGUAGCACCCAUAAUUUGAAGCUAUCAUGUAAAUUUGUACAUUCUCACAUAUUGCUAACUAUGUACUAUCAUGCAAACAUAGUCGCAUCUUCUACGUAUCAAA